Small nuclear RNA from Salvelinus namaycush (lake trout), 161 nucleotides. RefSeq annotates it as U1 spliceosomal RNA. The transcript has a single exon. The record is from RefSeq and is a predicted model, not a curated record. Lineage: Eukaryota; Metazoa; Chordata; Actinopteri; Salmoniformes; Salmonidae.
AUACUUACCUGGCAAGGGAAUACCGUGUCAAGAAAGGCGGUUCACCCAGGGCGAGGCUUAGCCAUCACACCAGCUAUGCUGACCCCUGUGAAUUUCCCAAAUGUGGAAAUCUCGAUUGCAUAAUUUAUGGUAGUGGGGGACUGCGUCCGCGCUCUCCCCUG